RNAcentral lists this long non-coding RNA (573 nucleotides) under Olea europaea subsp. europaea. Lineage: Eukaryota; Viridiplantae; Streptophyta; Magnoliopsida; Lamiales; Oleaceae. The record is from RNAcentral.
CACGCGCUCAUGCAUGCGAGUGGUCCCGUCCUUUUCAUUUCAAUAAAAUUUGGAAUCGUAAAACUCGCCGGCUGAAAUGUUGUUGAAUAUAUAUAAUCCAUCUCUAUUCUCCCAAUUCAUAUAAAUUAUAAAUAUAAUUUCAGUCAAAUCUCCCGCAAAUUAUCGUGCUCUAGAUCUCUCAGAAUUAAAUAUAUAAUACAGUUGUAUGUAUAGAUGUGUUGAUGCAUGUAUACUGAUCAUUUUGAUAUUAGAUUCAACUUCUCUAUAUGUUUCUUCAGCUCUUUAGUGUUGUUUCAAUCAGGUACUGGUUCUGUUUUCGUUAAUUACGAAGAGAAAUGUGUUUAUAUGUGUGUGUGGGUGUGUGUUUUGGGCGUUGAUGAAAUGUGAACUUAAUUGACGCUUAUUUAUGUUUCUGAAAUAAAUGCUGUACAUUUAUUGAUGUGAGCGCGCGCAUAGCGGGGGUUUCGGGUGUGCCUAUUUAUGUAUACUGAAGUGAAGUGUAACGUGUAUUUCAUGCGUCUCUGUGCAGUGCAUGGGCGGGGUGCAUAGAUUGGAACUUUAAUCUUUGAAGAG